Ictalurus punctatus (channel catfish) is the source of this 1037-nucleotide long non-coding RNA. NCBI's taxonomy places the organism in Eukaryota, Metazoa, Chordata, Actinopteri, Siluriformes, Ictaluridae. The record is from Ensembl.
GAGAAAGUGGGAAUGUGAGGAAAGAGGGAAAGAUAAACAGGAAGGAAGGACGGAGAGAAAUUGAGGAAGGAAGACACAGUGAGGAAGAAAUGAAAGAAAGGAAGGGAGAGAAAGAGAGGAUGGAAGGAAGCAAGAGAAAGUAGGAAUGUGAGUAAGGAAGCAAGGGUCAAAAGAAAAGAGAAAUUAUGGAAGGAAAGAAGGAAGAACAAGAAAGUGAGGAAGGAAUGAAAUAUAAAAAAGGGAGGAAGGAGAGAGCGAGAGAAAGUGAGGAACGAAGUAAGGAAGGGAAAGUGAGGAAGGACAGAGAAAGUGAGGAAGGAAGAGAUAGUGAAGGAAUGAAAAGAAAGGAAGAGAGGAAGAAAGGAAGCAUGAGAAAGUAGGAAUGUGAGUAAGGGAGCAAUGGUCAAAAGAAAAGAGAGAAAUUGAGGGAGGAAGGAAGGAAGAAAGGAAACAAAAAAGCGAGGAAGGAAUGAAAUAUAAAAAAGGGAGGAAGGAGAGAGCGAGAGAAAGUGAGGAACGAAGUAAGGAAGGGAAAGUGAGGAAGGACAGAGAAAGUGAGGAAGGAAGAGAUAGUGAAGGAAUGAAAAGAAAGGAAGAGAGGAAGAAAGGAAGCAUGAGAAAGUAGGAAUGUGAGUAAGGGAGCAAUGGUCAAAAGAAAAGAGAGAAAUUGAGGGAGGAAGGAAGGAAGAAAGGAAACAAAGUAAGUGAGGAAGGAUGGGAGAAAGGAAAGAAGGAAGAACAAGAAAGCGAGGAAGGAAUGAAAUAUAAAAAGGGAAGGAAGGAGAGAGCGAGAGGAAGUGAGGAAGGAAACUGAGGGGAAAAAGAGAAAGAAAUUGAUCAAGAAAGAGAGUAAGGAAGGUGAGAGAGUAAAAAAUGAAACUGAGGAAGGAAGAAAGAAAGAAUGGAGAGAGGGAGUGGAAUGAGGGAGUCUCAUAACUGUCUAGAUAACUGCUUUUACAGACUGUCGAUAUCCCAGUGCCUUGUUGACACAGCAUUAUUCAUUUCCUAAUGCGUUGACUUUCUGUUUGAAAUAAAAC